RNAcentral lists this ribosomal RNA (484 nucleotides) under uncultured bacterium. RNAcentral describes it as "partial 16S ribosomal RNA". It matches the Rfam family "Bacterial small subunit ribosomal RNA", at positions 30 to 507 of the family's 1533-position model. The record is from RNAcentral.
AUUGAACGCUGGCGGCAGGCCUAACACAUGCAAGUCGAGCGGAUGAAGGGAGCUUGCUCCUGGAUUCAGCGGCGGACGGGUGAGUAAUGCCUAGGAAUCUGCCUGGUAGUGGGGGAUAACGUCCGGAAACGGGCGCUAAUACCGCAUACGUCCUGAGGGAGAAAGUGGGGGAUCUUCGGACCUCACGCUAUCAGAUGAGCCUAGGUCGGAUUAGCUAGUUGGUGGGGUAAAGGCCUACCAAGGCGACGAUCCGUAACUGGUCUGAGAGGAUGAUCAGUCACACUGGAACUGAGACACGGUCCAGACUCCUACGGGAGGCAGCAGUGGGGAAUAUUGGACAAUGGGGGAAAGCCUGAUCCAGCCGUGCCGCGUGUGUGAAGAAGGUCUUCGCAUUGUAAAGCACUUUAAGUUGGGAGGAAGGGCAGUAAGUUAAUACCUUGCUGUUUUGACGUUACCAACAGAAUAAGCACCGGCUAACUUCGUG